This 500-nucleotide ribosomal RNA is filed under the name uncultured bacterium. RNAcentral describes it as "partial 16S ribosomal RNA". It matches the Rfam family "Bacterial small subunit ribosomal RNA", at positions 30 to 523 of the family's 1533-position model. The record is from RNAcentral.
AUUGAACGCUGGCGGCAUGCCUUACACAUGCAAGUCGAACGGCAGCACGGGAGCAAUCCUGGUGGCGAGUGGCGAACGGGUGAGUAAAGUAUCGGAACGUGCCCAGUCGUGGGGGAUAACGUAGCGAAAGUUACGCUAAUACCGCAUACGAUCUAUGGAUGAAAGCGGGGGAUCGCAAGACCUCGCGCGAUUGGAGAGGCCGAUAUCAGAUUAGGUAGUUGGUGGGGUAAAGGCUCACCAAGCCGACGAUCUGUAGCUGGUCUGAGAGGACGACCAGCCACACUGGGACUGAGACACGGCCCAGACUCCUACGGGAGGCAGCAGUGGGGAAUUUUGGACAAUGGGCGGAAGCCUGAUCCAGCCAUGCCGCGUGCAGGAUGAAGGCCUUCGGGUUGUAAACUGCUUUUGUACGGAACGAAAAGGUUUGGCCUAAUAAGCUGAGCUCAUGACGGUACCGUAAGAAUAAGCACCGGCUAACUACGUGCCAGCAGCCGCCGUAA